Small nucleolar RNA from Gastrolobium bilobum, 107 nucleotides. The record is from RefSeq and is a predicted model, not a curated record. Lineage: Eukaryota; Viridiplantae; Streptophyta; Magnoliopsida; Fabales; Fabaceae.
AAUCCAUGUUGUUGGCAUCUUUUGAGUAGCUAUUUAAAUGUCUCCCAUGCUUCAUAAAAGGAUUCAUUACCUUUCUUAGCAAAGGAUGAGAUCUCAGCUUUGAAAUU